This 125-nucleotide small RNA is filed under the name Marmota monax (woodchuck). The record is from RNAcentral. Lineage: Eukaryota; Metazoa; Chordata; Mammalia; Rodentia; Sciuridae.
GCUGGGUGUGGUGAUGCACACCUGUAAGCCCAGUGGCUCAGGAGGUUGAGGCAAGAGGAUCAGUAGUUCAAAGCCAGCCUCAGCAAAAGCGAGGUACUAAGCAACUCAGUGAGACCCUGUCUCUA